CCUCCAAAUCCUGAGCUGCUCAUUAUCUUCAGUCUGCACCUGCUUCCUAUCUCCAGAUUUAAUCUGUAAGCAGAAGUGGCCUCUCGAGUGUGCUGAAGCAGCCAUGGUGAAUUUCAACGCAACUGAAGCAGUCUGACCAAAAGAUUUCGCCGCCCCAUCAUUUCACUCUGAUUUCUUAUCAUCAAAAUACAAACGCCCUGCUUCAGUCCUGCAGCCCUCGCAGAAGCUUGGGUGACAAAGUUUCUUCUUUUCGGAAGAAACAAGAAAGUACAGCGAGUGCCUGGAGCUGUCAUCCACCACAGGGCACUGAUGGGAUCCCAGAGCCAAGCCCGCUUUUCUUUACCUGCUUCUUUGGUAUUUCUCUGCCACUGACAGGCUAUUUUUCUGGGAUGGGGAAGGAAGAAGAAUGUAUUUCUCAGCAGACACAAGAUCUCACCAAGUCUGAAAAGCUCAGCAAUAUGCAGAAACUACACCCAAAACG
Molecule: long non-coding RNA, 481 nt
Organism: Myiozetetes cayanensis
Lineage: Eukaryota; Metazoa; Chordata; Aves; Passeriformes; Tyrannidae
Exons: 3
Source: RefSeq, a predicted model, not a curated record